GUUCCAUUAGUGGUAUUUGUUGCUGAACCAUUCACAAUGAUGUAAUCCACUUUGUUUUCCAAUUUCACAAGACGUUGUAAGAUGUCAUCCAGAAGAACAGCAAUUGUUCUCUUAAGAUCAGCAUAUCCUGCUACAGAGGCUCCACUGCCACCAUUCAUUAAAUUCUUAUUUUCUUCUGCCAGUGCUUUGACAUAUCUUUUACUUAGGUCUAAUAUCUG
Molecule: long non-coding RNA, 218 nt
Filed under: Gallus gallus (chicken)
Lineage: Eukaryota; Metazoa; Chordata; Aves; Galliformes; Phasianidae
Source: RNAcentral